This 1551-nucleotide ribosomal RNA is filed under the name Salmonella enterica. Its description in RNAcentral is "bacterial LSU rRNA". It matches the Rfam family "Bacterial large subunit ribosomal RNA", at positions 1278 to 2812 of the family's 2925-position model. The record is from RNAcentral. RNAcentral also lists the same sequence under 8 other names. Lineage: Bacteria; Pseudomonadati; Pseudomonadota; Gammaproteobacteria; Enterobacterales; Enterobacteriaceae.
GGUAUCAGAAGUGCGAAUGCUGACAUAAGUAACGAUAAAGCGGGUGAAAAGCCCGCUCGCCGGAAGACCAAGGGUUCCUGUCCAACGUUAAUCGGGGCAGGGUGAGUCGACCCCUAAGGCGAGGCCGAAAGGCGUAGUCGAUGGGAAACGGGUUAAUAUUCCCGUACUUGGUGUUACUGCGAAGGGGGGACGGAGAAGGCUAUGUUGGCCGGGCGACGGUUGUCCCGGUUUAAGCGUGUAGGUGUGUGUUCCAGGUAAAUCCGGUUCACUUUAACACUGAGGCGUGACGACGAGGCACUACGGUGCUGAAGCAACAAAUGCCCUGCUUCCAGGAAAAGCCUCUAAGCAUCAGGUAACAUCAAAUCGUACCCCAAACCGACACAGGUGGUCAGGUAGAGAAUACCAAGGCGCUUGAGAGAACUCGGGUGAAGGAACUAGGCAAAAUGGUGCCGUAACUUCGGGAGAAGGCACGCUGACACGUAGGUGAAGUGAUUUACUCAUGGAGCUGAAGUCAGUCGAAGAUACCAGCUGGCUGCAACUGUUUAUUAAAAACACAGCACUGUGCAAACACGAAAGUGGACGUAUACGGUGUGACGCCUGCCCGGUGCCGGAAGGUUAAUUGAUGGGGUCAGCGCAAGCGAAGCUCCUGAUCGAAGCCCCGGUAAACGGCGGCCGUAACUAUAACGGUCCUAAGGUAGCGAAAUUCCUUGUCGGGUAAGUUCCGACCUGCACGAAUGGCGUAAUGAUGGCCAGGCUGUCUCCACCCGAGACUCAGUGAAAUUGAACUCGCUGUGAAGAUGCAGUGUACCCGCGGCAAGACGGAAAGACCCCGUGAACCUUUACUAUAGCUUGACACUGAACAUUGAGCCUUGAUGUGUAGGAUAGGUGGGAGGCUUUGAAGUGUGGACGCCAGUCUGCAUGGAGCCGACCUUGAAAUACCACCCUUUAAUGUUUGAUGUUCUAACGUGGACCCGUGAUCCGGGUUGCGGACAGUGUCUGGUGGGUAGUUUGACUGGGGCGGUCUCCUCCUAAAGAGUAACGGAGGAGCACGAAGGUUGGCUAAUCCUGGUCGGACAUCAGGAGGUUAGUGCAAUGGCAUAAGCCAGCUUGACUGCGAGCGUGACGGCGCGAGCAGGUGCGAAAGCAGGUCAUAGUGAUCCGGUGGUUCUGAAUGGAAGGGCCAUCGCUCAACGGAUAAAAGGUACUCCGGGGAUAACAGGCUGAUACCGCCCAAGAGUUCAUAUCGACGGCGGUGUUUGGCACCUCGAUGUCGGCUCAUCACAUCCUGGGGCUGAAGUAGGUCCCAAGGGUAUGGCUGUUCGCCAUUUAAAGUGGUACGCGAGCUGGGUUUAGAACGUCGUGAGACAGUUCGGUCCCUAUCUGCCGUGGGCGCUGGAGAACUGAGGGGGGCUGCUCCUAGUACGAGAGGACCGGAGUGGACGCAUCACUGGUGUUCGGGUUGUCAUGCCAAUGGCACUGCCCGGUAGCUAAAUGCGGAAGAGAUAAGUGCUGAAAGCAUCUAAGCACGAAACUUGCCCCGAGAUGAGUUCU